AUUGAACGCUGGCGGAAUGCUUUACACAUGCAAGUCGAACGGUAGAGGGGGCAACCCCUCGAGAGUGGCGAACGGGUGAGUAACAUAUCGGAACGUAUCCAAUAAUGGGGGAUAACGAGUCGAAAGAUUCGCUAAUACCGCAUACGCCCUACGGGGGAAAGCUGGGGACCUUCGGGCCUGGCGUUAAUGGAGCGGCCGAUAUCUGAUUAGCUAGUUGGUGAGGUAAAGGCUCACCAAGGCGACGAUCAGUAGCUGGUCUGAGAGGACGACCAGCCACACUGGAACUGAGACACGGUCCAGACUCCUACGGGAGGCAGCAGUGGGGAAUUUUGGACAAUGGGCGCAAGCCUGAUCCAGCCAUUCCGCGUGAGUGAAGAAGGCCUUCGGGUUGUAAAGCUCUUUCGCAAGGGAAGAAAACUUAGCCACUAACAUUGGUUGAGGUUGACGGUACCUUGAUAAGAAGCACCGGCUAACUACGUGCCAGCAGCCGCAGUAA
Molecule: ribosomal RNA, 496 nt
Filed under: uncultured bacterium
Lineage: Bacteria
Description: partial 16S ribosomal RNA
Rfam family: Bacterial small subunit ribosomal RNA
Source: RNAcentral